Molecule: ribosomal RNA, 257 nt
Filed under: uncultured bacterium
Lineage: Bacteria
Description: partial 16S ribosomal RNA
Rfam family: Bacterial small subunit ribosomal RNA
Source: RNAcentral
GUCUAUACUGUAAAUUAUGAGUGCUGUAAUUUAGUAAAUUUUAUUGGGUUUCAAGCUAACGCGAUAAGCACUCCGCCUGAGAAGUAUAAUCGCAAGAUUGAAACUCAAAGGAAUUGACGGGAGCCUACUACUAGUGGUGGAGUAUGUGGUUUAAUUCGAUAAUCCGCGCAAAACCUUACCAAUUUUUGAAUAGGUAUAAAAGGUUUAAACAAAAUGUUUUAAACAAUUAUGUAUCUACAGGUUUGCACGACUGCCUU